RNAcentral lists this ribosomal RNA (849 nucleotides) under uncultured bacterium. RNAcentral describes it as "bacterial SSU rRNA". It matches the Rfam family "Bacterial small subunit ribosomal RNA", at positions 10 to 848 of the family's 1533-position model. The record is from RNAcentral.
AGUUUGAUCCUUGGCUCAGGAUGAGCGCUAGCUACAGGCUUAACACAUGCAAGUCGAGGGGAAACGACAUCGAAAGCUUGCUUUUGAUGGGCGUCGACCGGCGCACGGGUGAGUAACGCGUAUCCAACCUGCCCACCACUUGGGGAUAACCUUGCGAAAGUAAGACUAAUACCCAAUGAUAUCUCUAGAAGACAUCUGAAAGAGAUUAAAGAUUUAUCGGUGAUGGAUGGGGAUGCGUCUGAUUAGCUUGUUGGCGGGGUAACGGCCCACCAAGGCGACGAUCAGUAGGGGUUCUGAGAGGAAGGUCCCCCACAUUGGAACUGAGACACGGUCCAAACUCCUACGGGAGGCAGCAGUGAGGAAUAUUGGUCAAUGGGCGAGAGCCUGAACCAGCCAAGUAGCGUGCAGGAUGACGGCCCUAUGGGUUGUAAACUGCUUUUAUAAGGGAAUAAAGUGAGUCUCGUGAGACUUUUUGCAUGUACCUUAUGAAUAAGGACCGGCUAAUUCCGUGCCAGCAGCCGCGGUAAUACGGAAGGUCCGGGCGUUAUCCGGAUUUAUUGGGUUUAAAGGGAGCGUAGGCCGGAGAUUAAGCGUGUUGUGAAAUGUAGAUGCUCAACAUCUGAACUGCAGCGCGAACUGGUUUCCUUGAGUACGCACAAAGUGGGCGGAAUUCGUGGUGUAGCGGUGAAAUGCUUAGAUAUCACGAAGAACUCCGAUUGCGAAGGCAGCUCACUGGAGCGCAACUGACGCUGAAGCUCGAAAGUGCGGGUAUCGAACAGGAUUAGAUACCCUGGUAGUCCGCACGGUAAACGAUGGAUGCCCGCUGUUGGUCUGAAUAGGUCAGCGGCC